CUUCAACUAAAACAUCACUUGUCUUAAAUUUCUUCCUAAAUAUAUGGAACAUCACAUUUUUCUAAACAAGUUUUAACUUCUUUGUUCUUCUCAGCUUCCCUAGUUGAAUGAAACUUAACAUGAUAUGCUUCAUCUUUCCAUAUUGGAAUUUUAAAAAAUGGAAAUUGUAGAUUUGUUGUCACAUCUGACCUUUGUGGCUUUAUGUUGUUCUACUCCAAGGUCUUUAAGAAUCUUUCUCAACCAAAUAGUUUGGUUUGCUACUGCUACAUGCUCAGCUUCAGCAGUAGACUGAGCUACAACCUCUUGUUUUCUUGAAACCCAUGAAAACAUGCCUGAUUCCGGUGAAAAACAAUAGCCAGUUGUACUCUUUAUGUCACCAAUGAUUCCAGCCCAGUCACCAUCCACAAAUUCAUCCAAGCUUCCAUUCUUCAUUGAUCUAAACCAGAUUCCAAGUUGAGUUGUCCUUUUAAAUACCUCAACACUCUUUUUGCUGCUGCAAAUGAGUUUGUGAUGGCUGCUGCACAUAAAUCUGGAAAGAAUACUAGCUGAAUAAAUUAAAUCGAAUACAUUAAAUCUGAUGUGAAUAUUCAAGGGGGAAAACCUGAUAUGUAUCUCUGCAUUUGGAAUCUUUUCAUUCGAGUAUUUUUCAAUUAAG
This 655-nucleotide unclassified non-coding RNA is filed under the name Hevea brasiliensis (rubber tree). The record is from RNAcentral. Lineage: Eukaryota; Viridiplantae; Streptophyta; Magnoliopsida; Malpighiales; Euphorbiaceae.